This is a non-coding RNA of Marasmius oreades (fairy-ring Marasmius), 83 nucleotides long. The record is from the annotation of a RefSeq genome assembly. NCBI's taxonomy places the organism in Eukaryota, Fungi, Basidiomycota, Agaricomycetes, Agaricales, Marasmiaceae.
GGGGGUAUAGCUCAGCUGGGAGAGCAGCAGACUGAAGUGAAUUUAUGUUCUGAAGGUCCCGCGUUCGAUCCGCGGUACCCCCA